AAACGAGACAAGAGGAUUUACACGCAUGGAUGUUGCUGUGCUCGUAUUUCUGCUGAUAAUAUCAGGAGCAGGAGGAAAGCCAAAAUGACUUCAAGUGACAGCUCAGCUAUCCCACAGAACGACGAGUGAAUAGUCGGAGUAAACAGCUUAGGAAGCAAAUACAGACAGAAGAAUUAUUCAUCUCAUCCACACGGCAAAUUGCUUGGAAGAAAAAAAAAACAGAGAGGAGGAGCACAGCAGCAGGAGCUGGAAAUGGUGAUGACUUUACCUCCAGGGAAAGAUCUCCACUUAUCAAGAGGAGCUGAAGGCUCAUGGCCAGAACACCGACAAACUUCAGCUGGUGAAGACCAGAUAUUUUGGGUUUGGAAGCCGUGCCUGAUUUUCAUCAGAGUCUGGAGACAACCACAGCCCUGACCCUGACUCUCAUCCUCGAUGCUUUCUGUGGAUGUGUGAUACAGAUAAACUGCAACCAGCUGACUGGAUCCCAGAUUAUAAACUGUACUUCUGACAUUCAAAUUACUAAAAAUUAUUAGUUGUGUGCACAUCAUACUGAAACCUGAAUCAUCUGUGUAAACUAAAGGUUUCAGACAGUGCAAACCUGUGCAGAAGCGUUCCUGCUCUCUGCAGUGCUCUGCAGGUAGAAGUGAGGGCAGCAUCCGAGAAGCACACCAGCAGACUUUCUGUUGUUUUAUGGAUCACAGGGCUCAUCACAGCUCUCUGCAUUUAUCCAGUGCAAUGUCCUUGCUGUUUGCCUGCGUACUGAGGUCAUAAGGUUGCUGCCUCUGCCUGGAUAUGUCUCCUCUAGGACUCUGAAAUCAAACACAGCAUUUUAAUGAUGUUUCAUAUUCUUGGGGAGAGUUCCUUCCUAAAAUAACCCAUUGCAUGCAGUCAGAAGCAAGUAUCAUGCAUCAAAAUCUCAUUACCUCAAAUGAAAGGCAUGUAAGGAAACUGUCAUGUGAAGAAGUGCUUACAAGGAGAAGCAAUGUGCUGAAUUAGUUGCAAGAAAGGGUGAAAGUUGACCAUUGGGUCAGGGUAGGUUCUGCAAUUCGCUGGGGAAAGUUCAACACCAACAGUGACAACAGUUUAA
RNAcentral lists this long non-coding RNA (1087 nucleotides) under Coturnix japonica (Japanese quail). RNAcentral describes it as "lncRNA (ENSCJPG00005020721.1)". The record is from RNAcentral. Lineage: Eukaryota; Metazoa; Chordata; Aves; Galliformes; Phasianidae.